RNAcentral lists this unclassified non-coding RNA (432 nucleotides) under soil metagenome. Its description in RNAcentral is "partial contains 5.8S ribosomal RNA, internal transcribed spacer 2, and large subunit ribosomal RNA". The stretch from base 1 to 120 matches the Rfam family "5.8S ribosomal RNA", at positions 35 to 154 of the family's 154-position model. The record is from RNAcentral.
GAUGAAGAACGCAGCGAAAUGCGAUACGUAAUGUGAAUUGCAGAAUUCAGUGAAUCAUCGAAUCUUUGAACGCAUAUUGCGCUCUCUGGUAUUCCGGAGAGCAUGCUUGUUUGAGUAUCAGUAAACACCUCAACUUCCAUAUCUUUUUUGAAAUGGGAGUUGGACUUGAGUGAUCCCAACGCUUUUCCUCACCGAAAAGUGGCGGGUUACUUGAAAUGCAGGUGCAGCUGGACUUUUCUCUGAGCUAUAAGCAUAUCUAUUUAGUCUGCCUAAAAAACAGGUUAUUACCUUUGCUGCAGCUAACAUAAAGGAGAUUAGUUCUUGUGCUGACUGAUGCAGGAUUCACAAAGACGGCUUCGGCCGACUUUGUAAACUCGAUCUCAAAUCAAGUAAGACUACCCGCUGAACUUAAGCAUAUCAAUAAGCGGAGGA